This is an RNA transcript of Dromiciops gliroides (monito del monte), 707 nucleotides long. It is a transcript of the gene named low molecular weight phosphotyrosine protein phosphatase, with no coding region annotated. The record is from RefSeq and is a predicted model, not a curated record. Lineage: Eukaryota; Metazoa; Chordata; Mammalia; Microbiotheria; Microbiotheriidae. The transcript has 2 exons.
AAUAAAAAUGGCCGCAGAGGGGACCAGGUCUGUGCUGUACGUGUGUCUGGGUAAUAUUUGUCGCUCACCUAUAGCAGAAGCAGUUUUUAGGAAACUUGUAGCUGAUCAAAAUAUUUCAGAUAAGUGGAGGAUAGACAGUGCAGCAACAUCUUCAUAUGAAAUAGGAAACCCCCCUGAUUAUCGAGGGCAGACUUGCAUGAAGAAACAUGGCAUUACCAUGAAUCAUAUUGCCAGGCAGAUUACCAAAGAAGAUUUCCUGACUUUUGAUUAUAUACUCUGUAUGGAUGAAAGCAAUCUGAGAGAUUUUAAUAGAAAAGUUAAUCAAGUUAAAAACUGCAAAGAUAAAAUUGAACUUCUUGGAAGCUACGAUCCACAGAAACAACUUAUUAUUGAAGAUCCAUAUUAUGGAAAUGACUCUGACUUUGAGUCAGUAUAUGAGCAAUGUUUGAGGUGCUGCAAAGCAUUUUUGGAAAAAUCUCAUUAAGGCUCACACUCAUUUGUUGCUAAAGGACAACAGUGAUUGACAUCGACUUUAAAAUGAUACAAUAGAAGAUAACUGAAGUCAUUGUGAAAGGUUCAAGAAAAAUGUAUUUUGGUGUGUCAGCAGUCAUUUGAUGGCAAUAACUUAAUGAAGAACAAAUAUUCUUUCUGUUCAUCUUUAUCAUCUUUUAAUAUUUUGUCUGUCUAUUAAAAUAAAUAUAACCUCU